UCAAACUUGGUCAUUUAGAGGAAGUAAAAGUCGUAACAAGGUCUCCGUUGGUGAACCAGCGGAGGGAUCAUUAAAGAGUUUUCUACAACUCCCAAACCCCUGUGAACAUACCUUUUGUUGCCUCGGCAGGCCUCGCCUACCCUGUAGCGCCCCUACGCUGUAGGGCCUACCCGGGGAGUGCGGGGGACCCUGCCGGUGGCCCGCGAAACUCUGUUUAGCAUUGAAUUCUGAACAUGUAACUAAAUAAGUUAAAACUUUCAACAACGGAUCUCUUGGUUCUGGCAUCGAUGAAGAACGCAGC
This 301-nucleotide unclassified non-coding RNA is filed under the name uncultured fungus. Its description in RNAcentral is "partial contains small subunit ribosomal RNA, internal transcribed spacer 1, and 5.8S ribosomal RNA". The stretch from base 1 to 73 matches the Rfam family "Eukaryotic small subunit ribosomal RNA", at positions 1759 to 1831 of the family's 1831-position model. The record is from RNAcentral. Lineage: Eukaryota; Fungi.